This 407-nucleotide ribosomal RNA is filed under the name uncultured phototrophic eukaryote. RNAcentral describes it as "bacterial SSU rRNA". It matches the Rfam family "Bacterial small subunit ribosomal RNA", at positions 28 to 475 of the family's 1533-position model. The record is from RNAcentral.
GAUGAACGCUGGCGGUAUGCCUAACACAUGCAAGUCGUACGAGAGUUUUUAACUCAAGUGGCGGACGGGUGAGUAACACGUGAGAAUUUGCCUUUAGGAGGGGGACAACAACUGGAAACGGUUGCUAAUACCCCAUAUGCUUUCGAGUGAAAUGAAUUUAUUCGCCUAAAGAGAAGCUCGCGGCUGAUUAGCUUGUUGGUGGGGUAAGAGCCUACCAAGGCGACGAUCAGUAUCUGGUUUGAGAGGACGAUCAGACACACUGGAACUGAGACACGGUCCAGACUCCUACGGGAGGCAGCAGUGGGGAAUUUUCCGCAAUGGGCGAAAGCCUGACGGAGCAAUACCGCGUGAAGGAAGACGGCCUAUGGGUUGUAAACUUCUUUUUUCAGGGAGGAAUUCAAUGACGU